Molecule: ribosomal RNA, 402 nt
Filed under: uncultured bacterium
Lineage: Bacteria
Description: bacterial SSU rRNA
Rfam family: Bacterial small subunit ribosomal RNA
Source: RNAcentral
AACGGGUGAGUAACACGUGAGCAACUGCCCUCAGCUCUGGGAUAGCUCCGGGAAACCGGAAUUAAUACCGGAUACGACCACGGCCGACAUCGGCCAUGGUGGAAAGGAUUUCCGGCUGAGGAUGGGCUCGCGGCCUAUCAGCUAGUUGGUGGGGUAACGGCCCACCAAGGCGACGACGGGUAGCCGGCCUGAGAGGGCGACCGGCACACUGGGACUGAAGACACGGNCCAGACUCCUACGGGAGGCAGCAGUGGGGAAUAUUGGACAAUGGGGGCAACCCUGAUCCAGCCAUGCCGCGUGAGGUGAUGAAGGCCUUCGGGUUGUAAAGCUCUUUUGGCGGGGACGAUGAUGACGGUACCCGCAGAAUAAAGCCCCGGGUAACUUCGGUGCCAGCAGCCGCGG